GAUGAACGCUGGCGGCGUGCCUAAUACAUGCAAGUCGAGCGAACGGACGAGGAGCUUGCUCCUUUGACGUUAGCGGCGGACGGGUGAGUAACACGUGGAUAACCUACCUAUAAGACUGGGAUAACUUCGGGAAACCGGAGCUAAUACCGGAUAAUAUAUUGAACCGCAUGGUUCAAUAGUGAAAGACGGUUUUGCUGUCGCUUAUAGAUGGAUCCGCGCCGCAUUAGCUAGUUGGUAAGGUAACGGCUUACCAAGGCAACGAUGCGUAGCCGACCUGAGAGGGUGAUCGGCCACACUGGAACUGAGACACGGUCCAGACUCCUACGGGAGGCAGCAGUAGGGAAUCUUCCGCAAUGGGCGAAAGCCUGACGGAGCAACGCCGCGUGAGUGAUGAAGGUCUUCGGAUCGUAAAACUCUGUUAUUAGGGAAGAACAAAUGUGUAAGUAACUAUGCACGUCUUGACGGUACCUAAUCAGAAAGCCACGGCUAACUACGUG
RNAcentral lists this ribosomal RNA (497 nucleotides) under uncultured bacterium. RNAcentral's name for it is "partial 16S ribosomal RNA". It matches the Rfam family "Bacterial small subunit ribosomal RNA", at positions 28 to 507 of the family's 1533-position model. The record is from RNAcentral.